GGGGGCGACAUGGCUUCGACGUGGGUCGCAAAACCUGAGGUGCAUGCCGAGGCGCGGUUACCUCGUAAAUCCAUCCGCAAACUUAUAGUUGCCAACGACGACAACUACGCUCUCGCUGCUUAACCCAGCGAGCCUCUGACCGUUUCUCGCCUGUGGGCGACGGGUUCCAGGGGUAAAAUUACACAGGAUCGCGGAGAUGGGCGUCCGGACCUGAUCCGCUAAAACCUAACGGAAUCGCUGACCGACCGCCCUGCCCUUCGGGCAAUCGGGAAGCUAAAAAACAAUAGAAUGGGCUAAGCAUGUAGAGCCAAUGGCAGAGGGCUUGCGGACGCGGGUUCGAUUCCCGCCGCCUCCACCA
This 358-nucleotide transfer-messenger RNA is filed under the name Thiocystis violascens. RNAcentral describes it as "Chromatium violascens Standard tmRNA". It matches the Rfam family "transfer-messenger RNA". Rfam says of the family: Bacterial tmRNA, also known as 10Sa RNA or SsrA, is named for its dual tRNA and mRNA-like properties. Its role is to liberate the mRNA from a stalled ribosome. To accomplish this part of the tmRNA is used as a reading frame that ends in a translation stop signal. RNAcentral also lists the same sequence under 1 other name. The record is from RNAcentral. Lineage: Bacteria; Pseudomonadati; Pseudomonadota; Gammaproteobacteria; Chromatiales; Chromatiaceae.